UUGAACGCUGGCGGCAGGCUUAACACAUGCAAGUCGAGCGGGGAAAGGUAGCUUGCUACCUGACCUAGCGGCGGACGGGUGAGUAAUGCUUAGGAAUCUGCCUAUUAGUGGGGGACAACAUCUCGAAAGGGAUGCUAAUACCGCAUACGUCCUACGGGAGAAAGCAGGGGACCUUCGGGCCUUGCGCUAAUAGAUGAGCCUAAGUCGGAUUAGCUAGUUGGUGGGGUAAAGGCCUACCAAGGCGACGAUCUGUAGCGGGUCUGAGAGGAUGAUCCGCCACACUGGGACUGAGACACGGCCCAGACUCCUACGGGAGGCAGCAGUGGGGAAUAUUGGACAAUGGGGGGAACCCUGAUCCAGCCAUGCCGCGUGUGUGAAGAAGGCCUUUUGGUUGUAAAGCACUUUAAGCGAGGAGGAGGCUACCGAGAUUAAUACUCUUGGAUGGUGGACGUUACUCGCAGAAUAAGCACCGGCUAACUCUGCG
RNAcentral lists this ribosomal RNA (484 nucleotides) under uncultured bacterium. RNAcentral describes it as "partial 16S ribosomal RNA". It matches the Rfam family "Bacterial small subunit ribosomal RNA", at positions 30 to 507 of the family's 1533-position model. The record is from RNAcentral.